RNAcentral lists this ribosomal RNA (649 nucleotides) under uncultured bacterium. RNAcentral describes it as "bacterial SSU rRNA". It matches the Rfam family "Bacterial small subunit ribosomal RNA", at positions 97 to 781 of the family's 1533-position model. The record is from RNAcentral.
GGCGGACGGGUGAGUAACACGUGGGAACGUGCCUUUAGGUUCGGAAUAGCUCCUGGAAACGGGUGGUAAUGCCGAAUGUGCCCUUCGGGGGAAAGAUUUAUCGCCUUUAGAGCGGCCCGCGUCUGAUUAGCUAGUUGGUGAGGUAAUGGCUCACCAAGGCGACGAUCAGUAGCUGGUCUGAGAGGAUGAUCAGCCACAUUGGGACUGAGACACGGCCCAAACUCCUACGGGAGGCAGCAGUGGGGAAUCUUGCGCAAUGGGCGAAAGCCUGACGCAGCCAUGCCGCGUGAAUGAUGAAGGCCUUAGGAUUGUAAAAUUCUUUCACCGGGGACGAUAAUGACGGUACCCGGAGAAGAAGCCCCGGCUAACUUCGUGCCAGCAGCCGCGGUAAUACGAAGGGGGCUAGCGUUGCUCGGAAUUACUGGGCGUAAAGGGCGCGUAGGCGGAUCGUUAAGUCAGAGGUGAAAUCCCAGGGCUCAACCCUGGAACUGCCUUUGAUACUGGCGAUCUUGAGUGUGAGAGAGGUAUGUGGAACUCCGAGUGUAGAGGUGAAAUCCGUAGAUAUUCGGAAGAACACCAGUGGCGAAGGCGACAUACUGGCUCAUUACUGACGCUGAGGCGCGAAAGCGUGGGGAGCAAACAGGAUUAG